CAGGUUAGUGUUUAUGAGAUACAGACUUGAUGACAAUACUCCUUUAUGUACAAAUAAAUUUGCAAGGUUUCAAAAAGUCUUUCCAUGAGUAACUCUGGUUUCAAAGCUGCCAAAUAAUUGGAAGGGAUGGAUAUCUAUUUCAGCUUUUCCAAGACAGAUGUAUCACCAAUGCUUUCCUAGUACCUUUGUUCUCCGAAAACCUAAAGGGAAAGAUCAUUGCUAGAGACUUUAAGGUUACCUAAUGCAGCACACUUGUUAAAGGGAGCUUGACGUUAUUUGAGUCAAACAGUUAAAAUUCUGAACAUCAUCUCCAAGUACAGAUCAGUGCCAAAUAUGAUUAUUUGUUUAAAAAAAAAGGGUGAUUUAUAUUUUAUACAUACCACACUCACAGAACUAUAUGUACUUCUAUCAUUGCAGAGGAUGGGAGAAAGUAAACCAAACUAAUAUGUAUCACUGCUUCCUUUAAAAAAAGGCAUGGCAUCGACAGGGACUAAAAUACAAAAAUACAUACCAUAAGAUAGAAUCAGACUUCUAGUCUGACGGAAUACUAGAAUAGGUACCCUAACCUCCCACUAAAAAAUGCUAGACUAACAGCAGGCAAGAAUCCCAGGAGGACAAAGAACGGCUGAAAACUUUCCAGAAUUGUUGAAAGACACCAACCCCCUGCCCUGUCCAGGCAGCUCAAUGAAUUUCACAUAAUAUACAAGUAAAAUCCAACUGACUGGAAAAAAAAAAAAAAAA
Long non-coding RNA from Lontra canadensis (Northern American river otter), 741 nucleotides. RefSeq lists it as uncharacterized. The transcript is spliced from 2 exons. NCBI's taxonomy places the organism in Eukaryota, Metazoa, Chordata, Mammalia, Carnivora, Mustelidae. The record is from RefSeq and is a predicted model, not a curated record.